AGCAGCCGCGGUAAUUCCAGCUCCAAUAGCGUAUAUUAAAGUUGUUGCAGUUAAAAAGCUCGUAGUUGAAUUUCGGGAUCAGUUUGUUGGUCGUGCUUCGGUACGUACUGUCAUUACUGGUUUCUCCCUUCUGAAGAACCUUGAUGUCAUUAAUUUGGUGUCUUGGGGAAUCAGGGACUGUUACUUUGAAAAAAUUAGAGUAGUUUAAAGCAGGCAUACGCUUGAAUACAUUAGCAUGGAAUAAUGAAAUAGGACGUUUGAUUCUAUUUUGUUGGUUUUCUAGGUAUCGACGUAAUGAUUAAUAGGGAUAGUUGGGGGCAGUUAGUAUUCAAUUGUCAGAGGUGAAAUUCUUAGGAUUUUAUUGUAAGACUAACUACUGCGAAAGCAAUUUGCCAAGGAUGUUUUCAUUAAUCAAGAACGAAAGUUAGGGGAUCGAAGACGAUCAGAUACCGUCGUAGUCUUAACCAUAAACUAUAGCCGACUAGGGAUCGGAUGAUGUUAUUUUUAAUGACUCAUUCGG
Molecule: ribosomal RNA, 520 nt
Filed under: uncultured Glomus
Lineage: Eukaryota; Fungi; Glomeromycota; Glomeromycetes; Glomerales; Glomeraceae
Description: SSU rRNA
Rfam family: Eukaryotic small subunit ribosomal RNA
Source: RNAcentral